UACUGCUCCUGGAGGCGGCUUUUGACUGGGUGCUCUAAUGCAGUGAAGCUCAGGCAGCAGGCAGGAGCGGCUGAGAACUCUGCAAGAGCCGCAGCCCCAGCAGCAGCAGCAGCAGCAGCAACAGCCACCGGGAGACCCAGCCCAGAGCCAUGCAUAGCAGGGCUUGGCAGAGGCAAAGGUUGGCUGCAAAGUUUGGGACCACACCUUCGAUGAUGAAGGCAAUUGGGAAGCAUAAUCCACCCAGGGACUCCUCAGGGAAAUACAGUGAUGCCUCAGCACAUUUCCUCAAGGCCAGAGACUACUUGAAGCCAAGAAGCUACACUCUACCUAACUACUUAGGAGUCCUCAGCUUUAAUCACCACGGCUAA
Molecule: long non-coding RNA, 368 nt
Filed under: Phascolarctos cinereus (koala)
Lineage: Eukaryota; Metazoa; Chordata; Mammalia; Diprotodontia; Phascolarctidae
Description: lncRNA (ENSPCIG00000031675.1)
Source: RNAcentral